AGUGAACGCUGGCGGUAGGCCUAACACAUGCAAGUCGAACGGCAGCACAGGAGAGCUUGCUCUCUGGGUGGCGAGUGGCGGACGGGUGAGGAAUACAUCGGAAUCUACUUUUUCGUGGGGGAUAACGUAGGGAAACCUACGCUAAUACCGCAUACGACCUACGGGUGAAAGCAGGGGAUCUUCGGACCUUGCGCGAUUGAAUGGGCCGAUGUCGGAUUAGCUAGUUGGCGGGGUAAAGGCCCACCAAGGCGACGAUCCGUAGCUGGUCUGAGAGGAUGAUCAGCCACACUGGAACUGAGACACGGUCCAGACUCCUACGGGAGGCAGCAGUGGGGAAUAUUGGACAAUGGGCGCAAGCCUGAUCCAGCCAUACCGCGUGGGUGAAGAAGGCCUUCGGGUUGUAAAGCCCUUUUGUUGGGAAAGAAAUCCAUCUGGUUAAUACCCGGGUGGGAUGACGGUACCCAAAGAAUAAGCACCGGCUAACUUCGUGCCAGCCGCCGCCGUAA
RNAcentral lists this ribosomal RNA (506 nucleotides) under uncultured bacterium. RNAcentral's name for it is "partial 16S ribosomal RNA". It matches the Rfam family "Bacterial small subunit ribosomal RNA", at positions 29 to 523 of the family's 1533-position model. The record is from RNAcentral.